This 253-nucleotide ribosomal RNA is filed under the name uncultured microorganism. RNAcentral's name for it is "partial 16S ribosomal RNA". It matches the Rfam family "Bacterial small subunit ribosomal RNA", at positions 524 to 776 of the family's 1533-position model. The record is from RNAcentral.
UACGUAGGGUGCAAGCGUUAAUCGGAAUUACUGGGCGUAAAGCGCGCGUAGGUGGUUUGGUAAGCGAGAUGUGAAAGCCCCGGGCUUAACCUGGGAACGGCAUUUCGAACUGUCAGACUAGAGUGUGGUAGAGGGUAGUGGAAUUUCCUGUGUAGCGGUGAAAUGCGUAGAUAUAGGAAGGAACACCAGUGGCGAAGGCGGCUACCUGGACCAACACUGACACUGAGGUGCGAAAGCGUGGGGAGCGAACAGG